This 447-nucleotide ribosomal RNA is filed under the name uncultured bacterium. RNAcentral describes it as "bacterial SSU rRNA". It matches the Rfam family "Bacterial small subunit ribosomal RNA", at positions 329 to 793 of the family's 1533-position model. The record is from RNAcentral.
AUCCAGACUCCUACGGGAGGCAGCAGUGGGGAAUAUUGCACAAUGGGGGAAACCCUGAUGCAGCGACGCCGCGUGAGUGAAGAAGUAUUUCGGUAUGUAAAGCUCUAUCAGCAGGGAAGAAAAUGACGGUACCUGACUAAGAAGCCCCGGCUAACUACGUGCCAGCAGCCGCGGUAAUACGUAGGGGGCAAGCGUUAUCCGGAUUUACUGGGUGUAAAGGGAGCGUAGACGGCAUGGCAAGUCAGAUGUGAAAGCCCGGGGCUCAACCGCGGGACUGCUUUUGAAACUGAGUAGCUAGAGUGCAGGAGAGGUAAGUGGAAUUCCUAGCGUAGCGGUGAAAUGCGUAGAUAUUAGGAGGAACACCGGUGGCGAAGGCGGCUUACUGGACUGUAACUGACGUUGAGGCUCGAAAGCGUGGGGAGCAAACAGGAUUAGAUACCCUAGUAG